RNA transcript from Vicia villosa (hairy vetch), 2904 nucleotides. RefSeq lists it as uncharacterized. The transcript has 5 exons. The record is from RefSeq and is a predicted model, not a curated record. Lineage: Eukaryota; Viridiplantae; Streptophyta; Magnoliopsida; Fabales; Fabaceae.
UAGAAGUACCAAUAUAUUAAAAAAAUUAUUCAAAAAAGUUAAGAAUUUAUUUCAUCAGGUUGAGCAGUACCCCAUAUCUAUGCUGGUUUUUGAUUCCUUCAAUCCAGUUUUGUCCUGUUCUAAUUUGUCUCCGGAUUUUAUUCACAUCCUUUCAAUUCUAUUUUCUCGCACACGAAUAAGAUGGGUUGUUAGUGUGUGACUAAGUUUCCUAUUUUCAUGGUAGUCAGUUGCAUUGCCAAGUCCAUAAAUUUGGCCCUUUCAGUUUCUAAUAGAGAACUCAGAUCAGAACCGUUUUUCUGUGUUAACACUAAUCACCUAUCCCGUCAAUUCCAAACAUAAGGAGGUGGAGAAACUAAAAGUUGCUGCUUUGAAAGCUAAUACAUGUGAGGAGUGUGGUGCUACUUUCCAAAAACAUUCUUAUUUGUUGCAGCUUAUGCUAAGUCAUUCUCUUAAGUUAUCAGGGAAUCUAUAUUCAUGAUUAAUUUGUAUCUAAGUUGUUAACUUAAUACCGGAGACGCGCCGGACCUCCAAAAUGGUGUCAUAUGUGUUUGUUUCAGGAGGUGGAGAAAGCAAAGUUGCUUCUAAGCCUAGAGCAAAGGGUACUUUGAAAGCUAAUACACGUGAGGAGUGUGAAGUUAAUUUAAAAAAGAACAUGCUUAUUUGUUGCAUGUGAGUAAGUAGUGGCUUAACAAUAAUUUUCAUUGUUGUAUUUGAUCUUUUUCUGAAUAAAUGUGUAGGUAGGGAUUCUAUAUUUGGUGUUGACCUGAAUAAUAUUUCAUGAAAAAUAUUACUAAUAUGAAUGAACUAAAGAUACCCAUUUUUGCUGGAAAUUAAUCCUUUACACAUUAAAAUCAUCUAUUGAAUUAUGGACAUUAUAGGUGAAGAAUUUGUAUCCUACAAUGCUUAUCUAUUUUGAAUAAAAGUACCAACUAAAAAAAUCAUUUUCAAAACAUAUAAUUUAUUCUUUAAUAUACAAAUAAUGAAUAACAGUAUUAGCAUCGGCACCUGCCGAUAUCGUAUUGUCUAUCACAGACUGUUUUUUAAAAUUCUUACGGCAUAUGCAAAGUCUUUCGUUUGAGGUUGCUUAUCAAUAAUUUUCAUUGUUGUAUUUGAAUUUUUUCUGAAUAAUUGUGUUAUGUGGCUUUUGAGUUAUCAUGAUUUAUACUUAUUAAUUUAGUAAUUAAUUAAGUUAUUAGUGAUUCUCUAUCAAUGGUUAGUUUGCAUGGAAAGACAUAAACCUAAAGAUCACAUGCUUGUUUCUAUGCUUGCUUUAACAUGUUUUUUUUUGUGAUUUGUAACGGAGGCCAUAUUUUUGUACCCUUGAUGACUGUAAUGCAAGUCAGAGAAGAAAGGACCAUUUGAAUCGUCAGUACUACAACAUCAAGAGAAAAUUUUCAAAAGACGCGUCGACGAGAUUCAUGAUGAAAAUCCUACCCCUACUAGUAGUGGUGCAAAUCACAAGCAUUUUCAAUGUUCUGAAAUUGGGUGUGGAAAGGUUUUCAGAUAUGCAUCACAGCUGCAGAAGCAUGUGGAUUCUUAUGUUAAGUUGAUGACAAUUGACAAUGGUCUGCUUAGAGCCAGGUCGAAUGAAACAUUUCGCCAAUACCGAGUGUCUUAAGACUCAUGUAAACUCCUUCCAUCAACAUGUGACCUGUGACAUCUAUGGGACUAAGCUUUUAACUUUGAGCUCCCGUGGAAAUUUUUGUAUCUUUAACCUAGAACUCUCAUUUUAGAAUACUGAAAAAUGUAAAGUAUCUCAAAAAUAUCUAAAAUGAUGCUUAAAUACCCAUGCUGCCCGGACAAAUUCGUCCGGUGAGCGGCCAAAAAUCACAUUUUUGGUCAAAAUAUCUGGCUUCACCCAGGAUCUGCCAAGCGAAUUCCUCACUCCAAGCGCGCCAGGCGAAAUUGCUGCUGGAAUUUGAGAAACUCAGCUCCCUCCUUUCUCGCCUCGUGCUCGCCUGGCAGCUCGCUCCAACCUCGCCACCAGCUUGCCCGGCGAAAAUGCUGAAACAUCAACAAUUUGCUUGGCUUCAAACUUCUUCCCCUGGACAUUCUUUUUAACACCUAUGCUUAUGCUUAUGGAUUUUGCUUCAAAGUCAACAAACAUAUUACAAAUAUCAAAAUUAUUCACAUAAACACUAUUAUCAAGUAAAAUUGGAAACUUUAAUCACAAAAUAAAAUACAAUGAAAAGGCUUGAAAUUGUCAACUUUUGAUAUAUAAUUAUACUCAUUUUUGACACCUAACAAUCCCAUUCAAGAAAGCAUUAUUGAUGUCUAGUUGAUUUAAUUUCCACGAUGCCCGGCUGAGUAAUACUCAAAUAAUGGUGAAUUUUGCUAAUGCAGAAACAAUAUCUAUAAAAUCAAGGCCAAGUUACUGAGUAUAUCCCUUUGUAACCAAUCUAACCUUAUAUUUGUCCAAUGAUCCAUCAUCAUUGAGUUUAGUAUUAUAUAUCCAUCUAAACCCAAUGGUUUUCUUGUCAGGAGGUAAAUGUUGAACUGUCCAGGUGCUGUUUAGAGUUGCUAUUUAUUCACUCAUGGCCUUGCACCAUUCAGAAUUUUGGCAUCUUUAUGAUAAAACGAAGGUUCAAUGUUAGGAAUAUGAUCAUCAGUGGGGCCAUCACAAAUGGGAUCUGGUAAGACUAUUUGACUAAAAGGAUCAAUAUGACUAUUAUUUUGAGACAUUGAAUCGAAAGGGAAAUUGUGUUCAUGGAAAACAAUAUCUCUAGAGACAUGAAAGGCUUGAGUCAUAAACUUUGAAACUUUCAAAACCAACAAGAUAACCUAGAAAAACACAUGGGACAACUUUAGGAGAAAAUUUAUUUCUAUGCUGAGGUAUGGUGGAAAUGUAACAAAAACAUCUAAAAACUCUAAAAUCAGAACAGGUAGGAAUUUUGUCAUAAAGAA